AGAGUUUGAUCCUGGCUCAGGAUGAACGCUAGCGACAGGCUUAACACAUGCAAGUCGAGGGGCAGCGGGGGUGAGAGCUUGCUCUCACCUGCCGGCGACCGGCGCACGGGUGAGUAACACGUAUGCAACCUGCCUGUCACUGGGGGAUAAGCGGAAGAAAUUCCGUCUAAUACCGCAUAAUAUCCCUGAGGGACAUCCCUUAGGGAUUAAAGGAGCGAUCCGGUGACAGAUGGGCAUGCGGCGCAUUAGCUAGACGGCGGGGUAACGGCCCACCGUGGCGACGAUGCGUAGGGGUUCUGAGAGGAAGGUCCCCCACACUGGUACUGAGACACGGACCAGACUCCUACGGGAGGCAGCAGUGAGGAAUAUUGGUCAAUGGAAGAGAUUCUGAACCAGCCAAGCCGCGUGAGGGAAGACGGCCCUACGGGUUGUAAACCUCUUUUGUCGGGGAACAAAGAGCGGGACGUGUCCCGCGUUGAGUGUACCCGAAGAAAAAGCAUCGGCUAACUCCGUGCCAGCAGCCGCGAUAAUACGGAGGAUGCGAGCGUUAUCCGGAUUUAUUGGGUUUAAAGGGUGCGCAGGCGGCGGAUCAAGUCAGCGGUCAAAUUGCGGGGCUCAACCCCGUACUGCCGUUGAAACUGGUCCGCUUGAGUUGGAGAGAAGUAGGCGGAAUGCGCGGUGUAGCGGUGAAAUGCAUAGAUAUCGCGCAGAACUCCGAUUGCGAAGGCAGCCUACCGGCUCCAUACUGACGCUGAGGCACGAAAGCGUGGGGAUCGAACAGGAUUAGAUACCCUGGUAGUCCACGCAGUAAACGAUGAAUGCUGGUUGUCCGGACCGAUUGGGGUCUGGGCGGCGAAGCGAAAGCGAUAAGCAUUCCACCUGGGGAGUACGCCGGCAACGGUGAAACUCAAAGGAAUUGACGGGGGCCCGCACAAGCGGAGGAACAUGUGGUUUAAUUCGAUGAUACGCGAGGAACCUUACCCGGGCUCAAACGGGAGCGGAAUGUCGCAGAGACGCGACAGUCUACGGACCGCUUCCGAGGUGCUGCAUGGUUGUCGUCAGCUCGUGCCGUGAGGUGUCGGCUUAAGUGCCAUAACGAGCGCAACCCCCGCCGACAGUUGCUAACUGGUCAAGCAGAGGACUCUGUCGGGACUGCCGGCGCAAGCCGCGAGGAAGGCGGGGAUGACGUCAAAUCAGCACGGCCCUUACGUCCGGGGCGACACACGUGCUACAAUGGUCGGUACAGCGGGAAGCCAGGCGGCGACGCCGAGCGGAACCCGAAAGCCGGUCUCAGUUCGGAUCGGAGUCUGCAACCCGACUCCGUGAAGCUGGAUUCGCUAGUAAUCGCGCAUCAGCCAUGGCGCGGUGAAUACGUUCCCGGGCCUUGCACACACCGCCCGUCA
This 1403-nucleotide ribosomal RNA is filed under the name uncultured bacterium. Its description in RNAcentral is "16S ribosomal RNA". It matches the Rfam family "Bacterial small subunit ribosomal RNA". The record is from RNAcentral.